Molecule: transfer RNA, 85 nt
Filed under: Felis catus (domestic cat)
Lineage: Eukaryota; Metazoa; Chordata; Mammalia; Carnivora; Felidae
Rfam family: tRNA
About the family: Transfer RNA (tRNA) molecules are approximately 80 nucleotides in length.
Source: Rfam by way of RNAcentral
GCCCGGGUGGCUCAGUCGGUUAAGCGUCUGACUUCAGGUCAGGUCAUGAUCUCACAGUCCGUGAGUUCGAGCCCCACGUCGGGCU